Molecule: ribosomal RNA, 355 nt
Filed under: uncultured Streptococcus sp.
Lineage: Bacteria; Bacillati; Bacillota; Bacilli; Lactobacillales; Streptococcaceae
Description: bacterial SSU rRNA
Rfam family: Bacterial small subunit ribosomal RNA
Source: RNAcentral
CAUCGGUGACAGGUGGUGCAUGGUUGUCGUCAGCUCGUGUCGUGAGAUGUUGGGUUAAGUCCCGCAACGAGCGCAACCCCUAUUGUUAGUUGCCAUCAUUCAGUUGGGCACUCUAGCGAGACUGCCGGUAAUAAACCGGAGGAAGGUGGGGAUGACGUCGAAUCAUCAUGCCCCUUAUGACCUGGGCUACACACGUGCUACAAUGGUUGGUACAACGAGUUGCGAGUCGGUGACGGCGAGCUAAUCUCUUAAAGCCAAUCUCAGUUCGGAUUGUAGGCUGCAACUCGCCUACAUGAAGUCGGAAUCGCUAGUAAUCGCGGAUCAGCACGCCGCGGUGAAUACGUUCCCGGGCCUU